Molecule: unclassified non-coding RNA, 9992 nt
Filed under: Mizuhopecten yessoensis (Yesso scallop)
Lineage: Eukaryota; Metazoa; Mollusca; Bivalvia; Pectinida; Pectinidae
Description: protein zyg-11 homolog B-like, transcript variant X1
Source: RNAcentral
UUCACAUCCGGGAAGGAAAGGGGAAUGUCACGUUUCUAAAAGCUUGUUUUUAUAUGAGUUUGGUGUUUUAUGGAGAACAAGAGAUGGAAUGUCAUCAGAUUUAUGACUUACCGACUCUGAUUUGAGGUGAACAGCUUGCGUAAAUAGAGUUUUAUCUCCAUAUACCAGCUAGAGAGAUGUAUGACACACCAGUCAGCCUGCAAAACUGCUGCGUUGAUUUUAUAUGUGACAAUUUGUCAACGCUAUGCUUGGCCUCAGCUGAAACCCCACUAAAACUUGCAUUCAAAGAUUCAGAUGUGUAUUUCCAUGGGGACCUUUCGGAGCAGCUACUACACAGUCUGUGUGAGAAAGGAAAGCUAACGGAUGAAACACUGAGUUUAUUUGAUCCAAAUGUCACCAAUCUGAAACGUGUUUGUAUACACGACGCACAACUGACCACCAAAGGUCUGAGGACGUUAAAAACACAUCGUAUUUCAGAAUUGGAAAUCACAGGACUUAAGAGUGUAACGGUGAACGAUGCAAUAGGAUGUCUAGGAGAGUGGGCUUUGUGUAAUUUACGAUCUCUGAAUGUUUGCAAUAGUACAUUUCUGAACAGUACAAAAUUCUGUGUGGUUGUUUCUUUGUCGAAGUUGAGAAAUCUGCACAGUUUGAAUGUAAGUCGAACUGAAUUCAACAAGCAUGGCCUGGAGAUUAUAGCAGAGGACUUGCCAUGCUUAGAGAGCUUGGACAUCUCAUGCACACAGAUAAAUGAUAUUUCACCACUCAGGAAAUGUAGAGACCGGUUAAAAUCUCUGUCAAUGUACAAUUUACGGGCGGCCAACAAAGAUGAUGUGGUUCCUGUAUUGUAUGACCUUACCAAGCUUGUCCACCUGGAUGUGUCCGAUGAUUCUGUGAUAACUCCAGUCCAGCAUACUUUCAUGGGCGGUGAUUCGCAUGCUAAAUUCCCAAUACAGGAUCUUUUGGAAAAAUCUAACUGUCUGCCAUACUUGACCUCUCUGGAUAUCUCAGGAAAAGAGGGAGCUGCUGAAAAUACAUUGAGGAGGUUUCUAUCUGAACACAAAAAUAUAAAAUUCCUUGGAUUGGCACGGACCACGUAUUGUGAGAUGCCGAUGUUCUGUGAUGACGACCGUGCCGAUUUCUCCUGUGAUAUUGUGAUAAGUGGUGACGCUAAUGAACGACAGGUUCUUGAGGCUCUGAGGCGAUACGUCCAGCGUGUUGUGUAUGUACAGAAGUCACUGUACACGCUGUUUAGACUUACACAGGCCAUGGAAGAGCCUAGAGAAGACAUUGUCAGGCUUGUCCUGCCAGCGAUGAAGAGCCACCCUAAACAGUUAGGGGUACAAAUGGCAGCCACAGCCUGUCUGUACAACCUGUCCAAGGGCGACAUAGGCAACAAAGUCCACCCGUCUUGUCUCAAGCAUGUGGUCAACUUGACCUUGCUGUCCAUGGAUAAUUUUCCCAAUCACCAACAACUUCAGAAGAAUGCUCUCCUCACCUUGUGUAGUGACAGGAUCCUACAAGAUGUGUCCUUUGACCGUUAUCGCUGUGCCAAGCUGGUGAUGGAAUGCCUUUGUCAGUUUGAUGAUCCUUCCAUGAAUCGUAUGUCUGUUGCCAUCUGCUCAAUUCUUGCUGCCAAAAUCUCCACAAGCCAGACAUCUCUUUUGGGAGCAAAGACCAAGUACAUGCAGAAAAUGCUGGAUCUAGUCCGACUGAAAGUACAGGCCCGGUCCAUAGAUAUCACCCUCAAGUUCACUCUCAGUGCUCUGUGGAAUUUGACAGACGAAUCUCCUCCUACCUGCCGUGUUUUUCUCAAAGAGAAAGGACUGGACCUGUUUAUGGACACCCUAAUGGUUGUAAUGGAUAUGGAGAGAGAUGUUAGGGUCCAAGUGGAGACAAAGAUACUAGGACUUCUGAAUAAUAUUGCUGAAGUUCGAGAACUGAGAGGAUUCCUGAUGCGGACCGAUUCCUUAAUCUUGUUGAAGAAACUGAUGCAUGCAGAGCAGAUUGACGUGAGUUACUUUGCCGCAGGAAUCAUUGCUAACUUGGCUAGCGAUGGUGCAGAGGCCUGGCUCGUGUCCUCCACAGACCGCGAGGAGAUCCUCGGAGAGCUGGGAGAAGUUGUUUUAAAAUGGGAGCAGCCUAAAGGUGAAAUGGUAGCCUACAGGUCCUUCAAACCGUUCUUUCCACUAUUGCGAUGUUUCUCGGUGCCAACAGUACAGCUCUGGGCCGUCUGGGCUAUACAGCAUGUCUGUACGAAAAAUGGGGAUCGCUACUGUUUGAUGUUAGAAGAGGAGGGCGGGUCAGAAAUUCUCCAGCAGCUGAUUGAAAAUCCAGAGACCAACAGCGAUGUAGCAGCCAUUUCAAUAAACAUAAUAGAACUUAGCAUAGAAAAACGAGGAAACCAAUGAUGGGACAGGCUUUUAAAACAGGAACUCUUUCUUUGUCCUUCACUCAUCUUCAUAUGACAUACAAGUUUAACAUAUAUAUUAGCAGAAUACCUGAGCAAAUCCCUUACAAUUAGGAAUCUUGUAGGAUUGGUACCUAAUUCUGUCUGUAUGUAGUUUCUGUAAAAUUGUAAAUCCUGAAAAUCAUUCAAUAAUACAAGUCAAAUAUAAAUAGACAUCCAGCAGUGUGGCCUGUAUAAAAUUUAUGGUUUCUAGAGAAGGGGCCAAUGCCGAAGCAGGGAUUGUUUACUAAACUAUUCUUAUCUCAAAAAGUGCAAUUUAGUUUAUAACUUAUGUAGUUGAUAUGAACGUUAAGUAAGUAUUAAUUUUGACAACAUUUUGGCCUGGUCCUACGUAAGCCCUAAUAGAAUCGCAUACUACGACAAAGAUUCCCCAAAAUCUUAAAGUAAGAAAUAUUUGUUUCAUUUAUAGUUACAAAAUAUGCUUACCUGGUUUUUCAGUUAAAUCUCACAGUAUAGAAUGAUAUUUGAUUUUAUAUAUAAUGUACUGAUGAACUGUGAGUUAAAAUUUUACAAAAUUCACUGGUCUGUGUAAAAUAGUUAAUUAACACAGGAAGCGACUUGGAUUUUCUCCCAUUAUUCUGGAUAUAGACUCUAAGAAAUGUGUGUUUUUUCCGGGUCAUGUAUAAAGGUGAAUGAGAGCGGUGAACAGUUCCUCGUUUCAAAUUGGCGGUGGAUGUUUGGAACAUUCCACCAAUGUCUUGAUUUACUUUCAGUUUGUUUAGAGCUACAGCGUUUCCAGUAUAACAGAAUGUUAAUGUGAUGUUGUUGAUCGGCACACCAGCUUACUAGUCAGGCUUUUUGAAAUUGUGCCAACAAAUUGACUAAUGUUUUCACAAGUAACGUGGCAUCUGACAAAAGGCCUCGGUAUAUACCCAGUUGCUCUUUAUUAAGUGUUUUUAUUUUCUGAUCCCAUGUUACCUAGGAAAGCUGAGGGUUUCAGCUUGCAUAACAAAAUGUGUUGAAGGCUUGUUUAUUAGGAUAUAUGUGGCACACGUAACGUACCAGUAUCUUACUAACACCUAAACCUUGAUAUGUUUCCAAGGAUUUGGUACUUUGUUAAAUUGGAUGUUGCAAGUUUGUUAAGAUGUUGUUACCAGUGCUACUGUUUUGUAAUUGGAAAUAUUGUAAGCAUUGUAAGCUUAAUUGGAAAUAUUGUAAGCUUAAUUGGAAAUAUUAUAAGCUUUAACAAUGUAUAGGAUUUUAAAAAACAAACAGAUUUGACAAUUUGAUAUACCCGGUACAUACUUAUAAAACAUAUAAUAUCAUUCUGUCAUGAACAUUAAAUAAAAAAAAUAAAAAAAGGAUGAAGCAUGAAAAAACAUUUGCUUUAAUUUAUAGUUAUAUUACUUUUGAAAGGAGAAAUACAAAAAUAUGUGUGUUUCCAGUAACAGCUUGGGAGAGUAAGCAAGGAUAGGCUCGCAAAUAUUUUCAUUUUAAAAGUUCCUUGUUUGGCUUAAGAAUUUUUUUUUAAGAAAACAUUGUAAAGAUAUGGUCAAAAUGUGAUCUCCAUGCAUCCUUAUAUAUAAUUGAAAUAUUGUAACUUACAAAACAAAUAAGUAUAUAAAGACAUAUCAGAUGGAUCCCACAAUACCAAUCCUUUUGAUCAACAUGAAUGAAAAAUUGUUCUGCUAUGACUGAUUUUGCUACAAAAUGUGUAUUUUAUAGUGAUUUAUAUAUGAAAUUGGGGUUCAUUAAAUCAUCAAAAUCCAUGCUUGUGUAAACCAUAUCCAUCCCAAUAAGUGUCCUGGGUGCCUAGCAAUGUGUGAAGAUAAUGAGGAUUGUAACACCUUCCAAAAGUCAGAGAAAAAGAAAAAACAUAUAGAUUCUAUUUUUUCUUUUUCUUAACAAGAAAAUCUGUAAAUUAUGGUCAAAAGAAGAAACAAACCUGCAGAAGUUUAGGGGACACUUACAAAAAAGAUGGGGAGGGGGUGGUAUUAGGUUUAAUGUGUCUGGUUUUAGUCCUUUUUGCAAAAGCACACUGUGCAUGAUAAGAAUUUCUUUCGUUAAUAUAUCAUUGCUGAGGAUAUAUCGCAUUAAAACUGACAUAAAUACUUUCAGGGUAGUGUCAUACAUUUAGGGUAGGUAAUGUAGGGUUAUCAGAGACAGGGUUUUUUAAGGCCUAAGAUUGAUUGAACUAAAAAUGUUAUAAACAAUUGCCAUAUGAUAAAUACCUCUGAGUGUUAACAGUUUUACUAAUGUUUAUAUGUAUCGAUGUAAGACUGGUGUAAACGUGAUCAGGGAUUUUUGUUGAUUUAUUUCAGUUUUAGUUAUCUGUGUUUUAGUUGUACAUCUGUGUACAGUAUUAACAAUUGUGUUUUAUCAGCUGUUGGUAAGUGUCUAUAAACUCAUAAUCAAUAUGUAAUAUAUUUGUAAGAAAAACUUUGAAUGAUAUAUAUACCUGUCCCACAAAUAAAAAGAAAAUUUAAAUCAAAUGCAGUUUUAUAUAUACAUAUGUAUAUGUACCUGUAUUGGGUUGUUUUUUUCCCCAACUUGGAAAUGAAGUUUUACUAUGGCCUAGAUGUUGAUGUGUAGACAUACCAUCAGUGGAACAAUGAGAAAGAUUACAACAAUGAACCAUCAGUGGAACAAUGAGAAAGAUUACAACAAUGAACCAUCAGUGGAACAAUGAGAAAGAUUACAACAAUGAACCAUCAGUGGAACAAUGAGAAAGAUUACAACAAUGAACCAUCAGUGGAACAAUGAGAAAGAUUACAACAAUGAACCAUCAGUGGAACAAUGAGAAAGAUUACAACAAUGAACCAUCAGUGGAACAAUGAGAAAGAUUACAACAAUGAACCAUCAGUGGAACAAUGAGAAAGAUUACAACAAUUAACAAAACAACAAACAAGGAGAAACACUGAACAAAUAAGGAGCACAGAUAUACUGGGUACUUGUGUUGAUCAAAGUUUCCUUUUUUCAGGGGAGGUAAUUAUAAUAUAAGGAGCACAGAUAUACUGGGUACUUGUGUUGAUCCAAGUUCACUUUUUCAGGGGAGGUCAUUAUAAUAUAAGGAACACAGAUAUACUGGGUAUUUGUGUUGAUCAAAGUUCACUUUUUCAGGGGAGGUAAUUAUAAUAUAAGGAGCACAGAUAUACUGGGUACUUGUGUUGAUCAAAGUUCACUUUAUCAGGGGAGGUAAUUAUAAUAUAAGGAGAACAGAUAUACUGGGUACUUUUGUUGAUCCAAGUUCACUUUUUCAGGGGAGGUAAUUAUAAUAUAAAUAGACAACAUACAAAGAGUUUUGAUUAAAUCAUUAAGCGUAAAAUUAAACUGGCAGUCUUCUUUUUUUAAAUGAAGUUCUUGCAAAACAUCUUGAGACUUUAAUGUUUGUGCUUUGUCUUCAAAUAGUUGCAUCAAUGCAUUUAAGAGUUUUUAAAAGUUCUACAAAAUGUCUUUGUUUGAAAAAAAAUCAUUUACUUUUCAUUGAGCAAUUCAUGGUUUUAAUUAUGUCAGCUGUGAUUAUUAUACAGUGAAAGUAUGGGUUUGAGGGAUAUAGCAAGUUUCUUGUUCCGGAGACCACAUAUGAUUGUUGGCAACCAGAAACUUGCUGGAUUUCAAACUCCUAUAUUUAAAUUGUUUCUUCAUACUAAUGCAAAAUGCAAGUCAUUGUUUAUAAAGCAAAUUCCAGCUUCAAUUUCUGAAAACCUUUGAAAAGCCCUGUCUAAACGUUGGGGUAAAGUCAAUCUCUGCCUACCUCUCAUCAUUAGGUUUGUCAUUUCUGUGAGGAAGUUACAGAAAUUGCCAAGGAUAUUAAUUUGCAUCUUUAAACUCUUGAGAGAGUGAGUCUGUACCCCCAGCAACUUCCAAGGGAGGUAGUCAGCAGAGGUGUUUUAGUUUUUGGACUAACACAUGGUUGAUAUAGGACUAAUGCCCUAGACAGUAAAGUCAAAAGUUGGGAAAUCAUAAAGUAAAUUUAACUAAUUACUUUAAUAUCACAUGAAUAAAAUAAAUAUAUCAAUAUUUGUUACAUAUACUAUAUAUGACCUGAUAAAGGAUAUUGAGAUACAUGAUCAAAUUCUAUUCAGUUGCUGCCUUUAAUAAGACGGCAAAAUAUAUUGGUUUGUUAUGUUGUUGUAAUUAAUAAGAUAUUAUUGGCCAACAUUUGUUAUCAGUAUAAUAAUCAUAUACCUUAUAUGUAUUAGUCUGUGUAAAUGUGUUAACAUUUUUGGAAUGUAAAGAAUUGUUUGUCAAAUGUAGAUUAUUAUUAUAUACUAAUGUUAUUGCAUGGUUGAAAGUUCUAUCUUGUUUUGAGUAAUUGUGUUGUUGUGUUAAUGUUUUUAAAAAAAAAAUCUAUUUUGUCAUCUGAAGUCCGUAACAACUAUGUAGUAUGUGUGGUUGAUGUUUAAAGUCUUCAUGACUUGUUGUCUUAACUAAUCCAUGUUUUGGUUUUGUAAAGCAUUGUUUUUAUGAUUGAUUGGCCAGUUUGAUUAGGUAGAAUGGCAUAUUUCUUCACCUCUUUGGUAUAGUACAAUAGCCGUUGAGGUCAAGGUUAGUGUUUCUUUAGAGGUCGUAUUUUGACCUUGACAUUUAAAAAGAUAUUAAACCCCAAAGUAGCACUGGUCAUGGUUUGUGUUUCUUGUAAAAAGAGAUUACUGUAUUCACUGUUAUUAGUGUUCAAAGUGCCAAAAGAAUUUACAGAAAGUGGGGUGUUUAUCGGGUAUUAAGGUCAUCAGUUAUGUCGGUAAAGAGUUUAGUGUGAAUAGGAGACCUUACUGUCAUAUCUGUCGACUACUGAAUGUAGAUUUUCUACCACUUUUUCAACCUGACUCCUGUCUGUUAUAUGAGUAAAUAUGAAACUUCAUCUACAGGGCAAUCAGGAUGGGGUUCGGGGGCAUAUAAAUCAUGUCAUUAAGUGCAGAAAAUGGGGAGGAAGGCUAAUUAUAGCAAAGACGGUAGAAGGUACAAGAUUAACAUCCAGUUUAGCAUUUGUCUUAAAGUCAUAGAUCAUCAUCAAUGCUUGUUUGGGGUUAAAGGUGCAAAGGUCAUUGCAUUGUUGAGUGGAAGGUCAAGGUCAAUGCUUUUUUCUGUGAUCAUGGGUAGGACUUUGUGUUCCAAAGACUGUUAAUGGAAUGUAGUUUACAAUAUGACAUGUAAUAUUUGCCUCGCUAAAAUUUCGUCUUCUGGUGUUUAGAAACAAUUAACCCAGUGUUUAAUUUACCCAUGACUAGUAACUAUGUAUUCACUCAUAUGUAUAAUAGGUUUGUCCUGCUUAGAAUUAUUCUCUUAUUCAGGAGAAAAAUUAGGCCAGACGUUUCCACUUCACAGUGCUGUCUUUCUACUCGAGAGAUUGCCUAUACAAGGUACAUUAUUAUGUUUAGUUUUUUAUCUGGGUACUUAAAACAUAUCCAGGCCUCUUGUUAUCUGGGUUAAAUGUUUCAUCAAGAGAUUUGUCAUACUGUAGAAUGAUAGUCCACUUGAAUAUCUUUGCACUUUUUUUGUGAUAGUGUUUAUGUAUAUCAUUAAAGAUGUGAAAUAUGUUCUAAAUAUCUUAGAUAGCUUUCCUUUAUAGAACUUUGUGAACCAAUUAACUUUGGUAAAACAGAUUAUUGGAGUAUAUACUAUUAUAUUGUAAUAACAUUUGUCAAAACUAAAUAUACCUCAACUGGUAAAAUGAUUGUCUUUCUUUUCUUCACUUUACAGUCAAUUUGAAGGAUCCCUAUCCCAUUGCUAACAAAACAUUUGAGAAUUUCUUGGUUUGUAUUUUUGUUUACACAGUAACCUCCCCUUAAUUUUAUUUAGAAUACACCUGUAGCACAACGAGGUCCGGGUACUUCUGUCCGCUUGGUAGCUCAGCUGGUUAGAGUGACAGAUAUGAUUGGAGGUCCAGGGUUUGAUUCCCGGAUUGGCACUAUUGUGUUUUUACGCUCAGAACAAUGGUGUUAAAAGUACUUUUUACUGAAUUUUGUUCCCAUUAAUUUCUAUAAGAUUUGGUUUUGUGUCGAAGCUGUAACCAUGUUGGAAAGAAAACUCAUAGUAAGUUUGGGGAAACAGCAAUGUUUUAUACAUGUCUCAACUGAAUGGUGGUACCUGGAGAGUAUAUGUUUCCCUCAUUUUUGAGUCACAGGCUGUCUGAUAUAGCGCAUGUUUUGUAUAGAAGUAUCAGCCUUAGUCUUCUAAUGGCCCAAAGUUCCAGCUGUAGGUUGCUGACCAUAAAGUUGUUAUUCUUCCCUGGCUGUGAUCGUAAUAAUCCUGUAAAUCAGGCCGCUUUCCCAGGAACUUUGUUCAGCGGUUGGAUUUGCCUGGUGAUGCCUGGUUCCCAAGCUGAGGCUACAUACUCAAGAGUGUCUUGUAUAUUUUUGAGCAGGCAGAGGACAGGUUUUCAAUAUCAUAGGAAGCUGAGGGUCCGAUUUGCUAUCUAUAAAAUGGUUUCAUAGGUCCCGAUUGCAUUAAUCUUACAGUUUCUGGGUUGUGUCUAUGAGGGGAAUACUCUGCAUUGAUGAUUUUAUUCAUCCACAAUAUCUGGAUCAUACCAAAUUUCUUUGGGUGAACCCAUGUCCCUGAUGAUCCAGCAAUAACAGUCCCCCUGGAGUUUAGCAAGUCCUCCACUUUGAAAAACCAGCAGUCCUCCGCCAAACGCUGGCCUCGGGAUCUGCCAUCUCCUGGAGUUCGUUUAUGAGAGAGAAAAGUGCAGGGAACCAGUAACUGAACCAUGGGGUACUGCCGUUAUAGGACAGCUGCUUUUGUAGAAGUUUGUUUUUCAGUUCCACCUGAAUCUUGCAUGAUUCUUGGUAAUAGAAACCAUGCCGACUGUAAAAUGGCAUGAUUAAUCAACUUACAGAUUACCUCUGUCUUAAAUUCAUGAGGAGUAAUAAUAUAAAUUUUACAAUUCAGCUUAUUAACGUGAAUGUUUUGUAUGCGAGGGUUUUUGAUGACUGAAAUACUCUGUCUUCUGCAUAUAUCGUAGAUUGUGAUUACUGUUAUCUUUCAGGAGAUUUCUUGUUCAUUAAAUAGAAAUUUGAUGUUAUUUAAUAUCGCCAAUUAAAAUAUACGCAACAAUGAACUCACAAUCGAAAGUUUGUUUCCAAUGUAAGGAAAUGUGUAUGGAAAACAUCUACUUGACGUUAUUUCUGAAUUGAAAUCAAGGAAAUAUGAAUACCAGUUAUGUACAGGUAAUCAUGUAUUUAUUUUUGGUUUAUAGAAAUACAUUUACUGUAUAGAAAGUGUACCUAACGCUUGUAUUCAUGUGCUAUAUCAUUAUCAUGUAUCAAUUGAAUGUCAGUCAUUUUGUAGUCAAAUAUAAUCAUUAAGUUAUUCUUCUGACAGAAUCUCUCCAACACAUACAUGUUGAAUACAUGUUGGUUAAUGAAAUUCCAUUUCAAAAGACACUCAUUUUGUACUUUUCUGCAUGAUGUUAAUUUCAUUUCCGUCUUGUAAGGUAAUGUUUGAGUCAAAGGUAGAGUUGCCUCCCUUCGUAUAUGUCUUCACUGGAGGCGUAAGUAUAAUGGGCCAUAACAGAGAAUAAUGUGCAUAUCUAGCCAUCUUCUUGGAAAACAAGGAAAAUAAAGGUAACUGUUUAAGCAUGAAA